UCCCUCAAGCCGGAUUGGAACCAGCGACCUAAGGAUCACCGUUGUAACAUCUACAGUCCUCCGCUCUGCCAACUGAGCUAUCGAAGG
This 87-nucleotide transfer RNA is filed under the name Cordylochernes scorpioides. RNAcentral describes it as "tRNA-Tyr". The record is from RNAcentral. Lineage: Eukaryota; Metazoa; Arthropoda; Arachnida; Pseudoscorpiones; Chernetidae.